RNAcentral lists this ribosomal RNA (343 nucleotides) under uncultured bacterium. RNAcentral's name for it is "bacterial SSU rRNA". It matches the Rfam family "Bacterial small subunit ribosomal RNA", at positions 90 to 449 of the family's 1533-position model. The record is from RNAcentral.
ACUUAGUGGCAGACGGGUGAGUAACAUGUGGGUAUCUGCCCUUUGGCCUGGAAUAACACGAGGAAACUUGUGCUAAUACCGGAUAAGUCUUUACGGAGAAAGCUUUAUGCACCAUUGGAUGAGCCCGCACUUGAUUAGUUUGUUGGUAGGGUAAUGGCCUACCAAGACUUUGAUCAAUAGCUGAUUUGAGAGGAUGAUCAGCCACAUUGGGACUGAGACACGGCCCAAACUCCUACGGGAGGCAGCAGUGGGGAAUCUUGCACAAUGGAGGAAACUCUGAUGCAGCGAUGCCGCGUGAGUGAAUCAGGCCUUUGGUUUGUAAAGCUCUUUCGUCGUGGAAGAA